ACGGGUGAGUAACACGUGGGUAACCUGCCUGUAAGACUGGGAUAACUCCGGGAAACCGGGGUUAAUACCGGAUGGUUGUUUGAACCGCAUGGUUCAAACAUAAAAGGGGGCUUCGGCUACCACUUACAGAUGGACCCGCGGCGCAUUAGCUAGUUGGGGAGGUAACGGUUCACCAAGGCAACGAUGCGUAGCCGACCUGAGAGGGUGAUCGGCCACACUGGGACUGAAACACGGCCCAAACUCCUACGGGAGGCAGCAGUAGGGAAUCUUCCGCAAUGGACGAAAGUCUGACGGAGCAACGCCGCGUGAGUGAUGAAGGUUUUCGGAUCGUAAAGCUCUGUUGUUAGGGAAAAACAAGUACCGUUCAAAUAGGGCGGUACCUUGACGGUACCUAACCAAAAAGCCACGGUUAACUACGUGCCAGCAGCCGCGGUAAUACGUAGGGGGCAAGCGUUGUCCGGAAUUAUUGGGCGUAAAGGGCUCGCAGGCGGUUUCUUAAGUCUGAUGUGAAAGCCCCCGGCUCAACCGGGGAGGGUCAUUGGAAACUGGGGAACUUGAGUGCAGAAGAGGAGAGUGGAAUUCCACGUGUAGCGGUGAAAUGCGUAGAG
This 608-nucleotide ribosomal RNA is filed under the name Bacillus sp. (in: firmicutes). Its description in RNAcentral is "bacterial SSU rRNA". It matches the Rfam family "Bacterial small subunit ribosomal RNA", at positions 102 to 695 of the family's 1533-position model. Lineage: Bacteria; Bacillati; Bacillota; Bacilli; Caryophanales; Bacillaceae. The record is from RNAcentral.